CUCCUUAGGGAUUAACUACGAGG
Molecule: non-coding RNA, 23 nt
Filed under: Cricetulus griseus (Chinese hamster)
Lineage: Eukaryota; Metazoa; Chordata; Mammalia; Rodentia; Cricetidae
Source: RNAcentral